GAAAAGCUCACCUCUUGCUGGAGACAGCUUUCUACUAGGUUUGUACCUUAGAAAGAAAAUGCUAAUGUAACCAAAUAAUCACUUCUGGGUACAUCUAGGUGGACACAUGAUUUUUAUCAUGUUAUCCAGUGCUUUUAUUGUACAGGUUUCCCAUAUCUUAUCUCUUCUGUCUCCUACAGAUAUAGAUUGCAAUAUCACUGCCACACCCUCAAAAAACAAAAACACCCAACAAUGGAAACAAAAAACACACCCAAAAACAAUGAAAUCUGUCACCAGUUAAAUGCUAAAACCACAGGCCAGAAAGACUUCAUCUCUAUUGCUCUGUUUUGCAGCAGAUUCAAGGAAGAGUAGUGGUGGUGUUUGUGGACCAGGAUAUUCACAGCCAUGUAAGCACUUGCAGAUGCAAAACACCCCUGGGCUUCUGCAUGGGAGCAACUCUGUAUUUACUUGUAUUUUCAGAUGCAUCAAGCAGCUGUGUGCAAUGCAGACUCUUGGGGUAACCUACUGGUCACUUGAGCCAAGGUCAGAGGCAUUAGCUCCACCUGUAAACUGGGAGGACAAAUGGAUGUGAUUUAACAGGACUUGUAGAUGAAGUUUUGACUCUGGGCUCAAAGACAAAUUAAGCUGUCUAUGAAGUGAAGGACAUCUGCAGAGUCACUAGUUGCUGAUCUCCAAACUGGCCACAUCAUUUGGUCUGGACUCUUAUACAGGUAGGUAAACACUUAAACUAUGUUAUACAGGCAUACAUACAAUAUUUGAUGAAACGUUCUCUUAAAUACUAUUUGAAAAACAAACAAAAAAAAUCAAAAAACAACCACAAAAAAAAACAGAAUUUUUGCAGUUGCUUAAAUGAUGAUAGCAUGCUUUUGAUACUGAUACUUUUAAGGAACAUUGGGAUAUAUAAUUAUUUCUCUAUCAAAUUAUUUCUAAAA
Molecule: long non-coding RNA, 932 nt
Filed under: Anas platyrhynchos platyrhynchos (common mallard)
Lineage: Eukaryota; Metazoa; Chordata; Aves; Anseriformes; Anatidae
Description: lncRNA (ENSAPLG00000028608.1)
Source: RNAcentral